This 556-nucleotide ribosomal RNA is filed under the name uncultured Pulchromyces. RNAcentral's name for it is "SSU rRNA". It matches the Rfam family "Eukaryotic small subunit ribosomal RNA", at positions 4 to 564 of the family's 1831-position model. Lineage: Eukaryota; Fungi; Ascomycota. The record is from RNAcentral.
CUGGUUGAUCCUGCCAGUAGUCAUAUGCUUGUCUCAAAGAUUAAGCCAUGCAUGUCUAAGUAUAAGCAAUCUAUACAGUGAAACUGCGAAUGGCUCAUUAAAUCAGUUAUCGUUUAUUUGAUAGUACCUUACUACUUGGAUAACCGUGGUAAUUCUAGAGCUAAUACAUGCUAAAAAUCCCGACCUCUGGAAGGGAUGUAUUUAUUAGAUAAAAAACCAAUGCCUUCGGGCUCCUUGGUGAUUCAUGAUAACUUUACGAAUCGCAUGGCCUUGUGCCGGCGAUGGUUCAUUCAAAUUUCUGCCCUAUCAACUUUCGAUGGUAGGAUAGUGGCCUACCAUGGUUUCAACGGGUAACGGGGAAUUAGGGUUCUAUUCCGGAGAGGGAGCCUGAGAAACGGCUACCACAUCCAAGGAAGGCAGCAGGCGCGCAAAUUACCCAAUCCCGACACGGGGAGGUAGUGACAAUAAAUACUGAUACAGGGCCCUUUCGGGUCUUGUAAUCGGAAUGAGUACAAUUUAAAUCCCUUAACGAGGAACAAUUGGAGGGCAAGUCUGG